AGCGAACGCUGGCGGCAGGCUUGACACAUGCAAGUCGAGCGGGCAUCCUUGUGGUGUCAGCGGCAGACGGGUGAGUAACGCGUGGGAACGUGCCCUUCGGUUCGGAAUAACUCAGGGAAACUUGAGCUAAUACCGGAUACGUGCGAGAGCAGAAAGGUUUAUCUGCCGAAGGAUCGGCCCGCGUCUGAUUAGCUAGUUGGUGAGGUUAUGGCUCACCAAGGCGACGAUCAGUAGCUGGUCUGAGAGGAUGAUCAGCCACACUGGGACUGAGACACGGCCCAGACUCCUACGGGAGGCAGCAGUGGGGAAUAUUGGACAAUGGGGGCAACCCUGAUCCAGCCAUGCCGCGUGAGUGAUGACGGCCUUAGGGUUGUAAAGCUCUUUUCUUCGGGACGAUAAUGACGGUACCGGAGGAAUAAGCCCCGGCUAACUUCGUG
This 437-nucleotide ribosomal RNA is filed under the name uncultured bacterium. Its description in RNAcentral is "partial 16S ribosomal RNA". It matches the Rfam family "Bacterial small subunit ribosomal RNA", at positions 29 to 507 of the family's 1533-position model. The record is from RNAcentral.